Molecule: long non-coding RNA, 538 nt
Organism: Setaria italica (foxtail millet)
Lineage: Eukaryota; Viridiplantae; Streptophyta; Magnoliopsida; Poales; Poaceae
Exons: 3
Source: RefSeq, a predicted model, not a curated record
UCCCUAUCUUCCAGGCGCUUCCUCUCCUCCUCUCUCCUCUCUCUACGCCACCGGUGCCUCCCCGGCCGGGCCACCUGGCAGCUGGCGUGCGGCCCCGGGGCCUCCGCGGCCGGGCCACCGGAGGGGGGCCUCCCCGGCUGGGCCACCGGAGGGGGGCCUCCCCGGCCGGGCCGCUGCAGGUCAAGUUUUGGUUCCAGAACAAGCACACCCAGAUGAAGGAUGGGUCCAGACGCAGCAGGAGCAGCAGGAGAACACACAACUGAGGGCUGAGAACGAGAAGCGGAUUAAAGAGCUUUAAUCCUAGGAAUAGGAUGUGACUUCCUCCUGGUGGUGAGGCUUUGUAGGUCAUCAAAAUUUCAAUAGAUCAAAACCAGGGAGCUCAUCUUCCCAUACAUCUUUCAAUAUGUGCUUUCUGUACAACUGGGUCCUUUGCUUGUUGCUAUGCUUUAUUCAGAUUGUGUUCUGUUGAUUUAGGAACUAUUUCAAAUUGUGUUCUGUUCAUUUACAAUAAAUUCAGAUUGUGUUCUUUGGUGCAGUA